CAGACUGUCAGCAGGAACAAAGGAAACGACGAACACCGGUGAAACUGCGUCUGUAGCUCCAAUACUAACAGCUUCUCAUUUCAGUCCUUUUUGGAUUAAACGCCRUUGUCACCAGCACAGGCUGAACCUCGCUGAUCUGUUCAAUCACCCGGGAGCGCUGAGGCAGGACCCCGUAAAGUGUCGCUGGAAAAUUCAGGAGAACUGGGCAAUUAUUUCUGAUGUAUCUACUUGGACAAAUGCUGGCAUUCUGAGCAGACCCAGAGGUUUGUGUCCUCAUUAUUGAUACUCUCCACACUGUUCAGUUCAAGCUUUGACGAGACGUCCAGUUUAGUCUUGAGAUCGAUGGUGCGUUACUAAUUUUAAGAAGAUUUUCAGUCAUGUUUAUUAGAUCACGGGUGAGUUGGUCAUUAAGGGGAUGAAGCUGAAAUGUGAUUGGCCAUAUUUUAUUAGUAUGAUAAGGUAAUGCAAAACAGAAGAUGGUAAUGUGAAUUACUGAACUGUUUUAGCAAAGCUUUACAAUUUCCACACUUGAUCAUAUGCCAAUAACUAGAACUUGAGUGUUUCAAUAAAAUAUUUGUUUUACUGAAUAUAAAUUGGAAAAACAAUAUGCCUCAUGCAAGAAAAUUUUUGUAUUUUUAUCCUAAAUUUCUCUUACUUUUGUUUGAAGGAAGGGCUCAUGCAAACAUGCCACGACAGAUUCAGCAAACACUUCUAUCUUCAGGAAAAGUGUGUUAAAAAGCAGCGUAAGCAUGAUAACUGCCACAUGUACGUGCAGGUGCUCAUGCACAAGGAGUGGAAAUUAGCAUAACUACCACCCCAAAAACACCA
Molecule: long non-coding RNA, 828 nt
Organism: Austrofundulus limnaeus
Lineage: Eukaryota; Metazoa; Chordata; Actinopteri; Cyprinodontiformes; Rivulidae
Exons: 3
Source: RefSeq, a predicted model, not a curated record